Molecule: small nuclear RNA, 133 nt
Filed under: Dipodomys ordii (Ord's kangaroo rat)
Lineage: Eukaryota; Metazoa; Chordata; Mammalia; Rodentia; Heteromyidae
Source: RNAcentral
GGGACAGCGCGCAGGCCCAGAGUUCAGGCCCUAUGACCGGACCCUCCCCCCCACAAAAAAACUGCAAUAAUACAGAUUAGCAUGGCCCCUAUACAAGGAUCACAUACAAAUUCAUGAAGCAUUCCAUAUAUUU